UACGUAGGCAGCAAGCGUUGUUCGGAGUUACUGGGCGUAAAGGGUGUGUAGGCGGUUAUUUAAGUUUGGUGUGAAAUCUCCCGGCUCAACCGGGAGGGUGCGCCGAAUACUGAAUGACUUGGAGCGCGGGAGAGGAAAGUGGAAUUCCUGGUGUAGCGGUGAAAUGCGUAGAUAUCAGGAGGAACACCGGUGGUGUAGACGGCUUUCUGGACCGUAACUGACGCUGAGACACGAAAGCGUGGGUAGCAAACAGG
This 254-nucleotide ribosomal RNA is filed under the name uncultured bacterium. Its description in RNAcentral is "partial 16S ribosomal RNA". It matches the Rfam family "Bacterial small subunit ribosomal RNA", at positions 524 to 776 of the family's 1533-position model. The record is from RNAcentral.